RNAcentral lists this small RNA (997 nucleotides) under Pongo abelii (Sumatran orangutan). RNAcentral's name for it is "retained intron". Lineage: Eukaryota; Metazoa; Chordata; Mammalia; Primates; Hominidae. The record is from RNAcentral.
GCCAGGCCGUGUUCCGGGUCUCUGGAUUCAAGUCCCAGGAGUCCUGACCAGAGAGCAGGCAUCAGUGUUUUUCUGACCGAAGUUCUCAUUUCCUGACAAUGGAAAUGGAACAAGAAAAAAUGACCAUGAAUAAGGAAUUGAGUCCAGACGCGGCUGCUUACUGCUGCUCGGCCUGCCACGGCGACGAGACCUGGAGUUACAACCACCCCAUCCGGGGCCGGGCUAAGUCUCGCAGCCUGUCUGCCUCGCCCGCCCUGGGGAGCACCAAGGAGUUCAGGAGGACACGCUCUCUCCAUGGGCCGUGCCCGGUGACCACUUUUGGACCAAAGGCCUGUGUGCUGCAGAACCCCCAGACCAUCAUGCACAUUCAGGACCCUGCGAGCCAGCGGCUGACGUGGAACAAGUCCCCAAAGAGCGUCCUUGUCAUCAAGAAGAUGAGAGAUGCCAGCCUACUGCAGCCAUUCAAGGAGCUCUGCACGCACCUCAUGGAGGAGAACAACAUGAUCGUGUAUGUGGAAAAGAAAGUGCUGGAAGACCCUGCCAUUGCCAGCGAUGAGAGCUUUGGGGCCGUGAAGAAGAAAUUCUGUACCUUUCGAGAAGAUUAUGAUGACAUUUCCAAUCAGAUAGACUUCAUCAUCUGCCUGGGGGGAGACGGGACGCUGCUGUACGCUUCCUCGCUUUUCCAGGUGAAGCGCUGACAUUUCCAGACCCGCACCAGAUUCUAGUCUAGGUGCUGCGUAACGCGGGGUCGCAGUCUAGGUGCUGCAUAACGAGGGGCUCGCAGUCUAGGUGCUGCGUAACGAGGGGCUCACGAGCGCGGCUUCCAUUACUUUUCACCCCUUUAUGAGAGCAGUCACCUAUAGCGGCCAGCACUGAGGCCCAUGGUGGCAGCCUGGUGGGGCGCAAUGGUGGGGCCAGGGGCAGUGUGGACACAGUGCUACGGCUAGGGGUGGCCAGAGCCCGCCUGGGACAGGAGGGAGUGGCGCAGGGCGGUGGG